GAUGAACGCUGGCGGCGUGCCUAAUACAUGCAAGUCGAGCGAACAGACGAUGAGCUUGCUCCUCUAACGUUAGCGGCUGACGGGUGAGUAACACGUGGAUAACCUACCUAUAAUACUGGGAUAACUUCGGGAAACCGGAGCUAAUACCGGAUAAUAUAUUGAACCGCAUGGUUCAAUAGUGAAAGACGGUUUUGCUGUCACUUAUAGAUGGAUCCGCGCCGCAUUAGCUAGUUGGUAAGGUAACAGCUUACCAAGGCAACGAUGCGUAGCCGACCUGAGAGGGUGAUCGGCCACACUGGAACUGAGACACGGUCCAGACUCCUACGGGAGGCAGCAGUAGGGAACAUUCCGCAAUGGGCGAAAGCCUGACGGUGCAACGCCGCGUGAGUGAUGAAGGUCUUCGGAUCGUAAAACUCUGUUAUUAGGGAAGAACAACUGUGUAAGUAACUACGCACGUCUUGACGGUACCUAAUCAGAAAGCAACGGCUAACUACGUG
RNAcentral lists this ribosomal RNA (497 nucleotides) under uncultured bacterium. Its description in RNAcentral is "partial 16S ribosomal RNA". It matches the Rfam family "Bacterial small subunit ribosomal RNA", at positions 28 to 507 of the family's 1533-position model. The record is from RNAcentral.